CGUCUAGGCUACGAGGACACGCUGGCGGCGUGCCUAAUACAUGGCAAGUCGAGCGAAGUUUUUCUGGUGCUUGACACCGGAAAAACUUAGCGGCGAACGGGUGAGUAAACACGUAAAGAACCUGCCUCAUAGACUGGGACAACUAUUGGAAACGAUAGCUAAUACCGGAUAACAGCAUUAACUGCAUGGUUGAUGUUUGAAAGUUGGUUUUGCUAACACUAUGAGAUGGCUUUGCGGUGCAUUAGCUAGUUGGUGGGGUAAAGGCCUACCAAGGCGACGAUGCAUAGCCGACCUGAGAGGGUGAUCGGCCACACUGGGACUGAGACACGGCCCAGACUCCUACGGGAGGCAGCAGUAGGGAAUCUUCCGCAAUGGGCGAAAGCCUGACGGAGCAACGCCGCGUGAGUGAAGAAGGAUUUCGGUUCGUAAAGCUCUGUUGUUAGGGAAGAAUAAUUGUGUAGUAACUAUACACAGUAGAGACGGUACCUAACCAGAAAGCCACGGCUAACUACGUG
RNAcentral lists this ribosomal RNA (515 nucleotides) under uncultured Gemella sp. Its description in RNAcentral is "bacterial SSU rRNA". It matches the Rfam family "Bacterial small subunit ribosomal RNA", at positions 33 to 507 of the family's 1533-position model. The record is from RNAcentral. Lineage: Bacteria; Bacillati; Bacillota; Bacilli; Caryophanales; Gemellaceae.